UACGAAGGGGGCUAGCGUUGCUCGGAAUUACUGGGCGUAAAGCGCACGUAGGCGGUCUUUUAAGUCGGGGGUGAAAUCCUGGAGCUCAACUCCAGAACUGCCUUCGAUACUGGCAGGCUUGAAUCCGGGAGAGGGAUGCGGAAUUCCAGGUGUAGCGGUGAAAUGCGUAGAUAUCUGGAGGAACACCGGUGGCGAAGGCGGCAUCCUGGACCGGCAUUGACGCUGAGGCGCGAAAGCCAGCGGAGCAAACGGG
RNAcentral lists this ribosomal RNA (253 nucleotides) under uncultured bacterium. RNAcentral describes it as "partial 16S ribosomal RNA". It matches the Rfam family "Bacterial small subunit ribosomal RNA", at positions 524 to 776 of the family's 1533-position model. The record is from RNAcentral.